ACUCCUACGGGAGGCAGCAGUAGGGAAUCUUCCACAAUGGGCGCAAGCCUGAUGGAGCAACACCGCGUGAGUGAAGAAGGGUUUCGGCUCGUAAAGCUCUGUUAUUAAAGAAGAACACGUAUGAGAGUAACUGUUCAUACGUUGACGGUAUUUAACCAGAAAGUCACGGCUAACUACGUGCCAGCAGCCGCGGUAAUACGUAGGUGGCAAGCGUUAUCCGGAUUUAUUGGGGCGUAAAGAGAGUGCAGGCGGUUUUCUAAGUCUGAUGUGAAAGCCUUCGGCUUAACCGGAGAAGUGCAUCGGAAACUGGAUAACUUGAGUGCAGAAGAGGGUAGUGGAACUCCAUGUGUAGCGGUGGAAUGCGUAGAUAUAUGGAAGAACACCAGUGGCGAAGGCGGCUACCUGGUCUGCAACUGACGCUGAGACUCGAAAGCAUGGGUAGCGAACAGGAUUAGAUACCCUGGUAGGAUAGCG
RNAcentral lists this ribosomal RNA (474 nucleotides) under uncultured bacterium. Its description in RNAcentral is "bacterial SSU rRNA". It matches the Rfam family "Bacterial small subunit ribosomal RNA", at positions 335 to 801 of the family's 1533-position model. The record is from RNAcentral.